UACGGAGGAUCCGAGCGUUAUCCGGAUUUAUUGGGUUUAAAGGGAGCGUAGGCGGACGCUUAAGUCAGUUGUGAAAGUUUGCGGCUCAACCGUAAAAUUGCAGUUGAUACUGGGUGUCUUGAGUACAGUAGAGGUGGGCGGAAUUCGUGGUGUAGCGGUGAAAUGCUUAGAUAUCACGAAGAACCCCGAUUGCGAAGGCAGCUUACUAAACUGUGACUGACAUUGAUGCUCGAAAGUGUGGGUAUCAAACAGG
This 253-nucleotide ribosomal RNA is filed under the name uncultured bacterium. RNAcentral describes it as "partial 16S ribosomal RNA". It matches the Rfam family "Bacterial small subunit ribosomal RNA", at positions 524 to 776 of the family's 1533-position model. The record is from RNAcentral.